Molecule: ribosomal RNA, 306 nt
Filed under: Lydomorphus brittoni
Lineage: Eukaryota; Metazoa; Arthropoda; Insecta; Coleoptera; Meloidae
Description: partial large subunit ribosomal RNA
Source: RNAcentral
AAAGGCUUAGAUGUUAUAGAAAGACGAGAAGACCCUAUAGAGUUUGAUAGGCUGAUGUUUCAAUUUUGUGAGGGUUUUAUUGGGAUUGAUUGAUCACUUGUUUUGUUGGGGUGACAUAAGAAUUGGAUAAACUUCUUUGAUUGGUUUACAUGGAUUAAUGAAUUUAUGAUCCUGAGUUUUGGAUUAAAAGAAUAAAUUACCUUAGGGAUAACAGCGUAAUCUUUUUGGAGAGUUCUUAUCGAUAAAAGGGAUUGCGACCUCGAUGUUGGAUUAAAGUUAAUUUCUGGUGCAGAAGCUAGAAUGUUA